Molecule: small RNA, 3193 nt
Filed under: Mytilus galloprovincialis (Mediterranean mussel)
Lineage: Eukaryota; Metazoa; Mollusca; Bivalvia; Mytilida; Mytilidae
Source: RNAcentral
AUGUGUAAUGCAUAUCCAGAACGUAGGGAGGAACUAGAUGCUUACGAAGCCGACAUAAUCAACAUCCAUAAUUUCCAUGGCCUUAAAUUUUAUGAUUACCAUAAAAUAUUUUCCGCUAAAGCUGCAGCUCUCUUGAGAGAGAAACGUGUUAAAGUCGAUUGGAGUCUCCGCGACCGUGAUAUCCUUUCAUUAAUUACAGCAGGAUCCUCAGUAAAUGUGUGUAAAAUCUGUAAUUUAAUUGAUCAUGCUACACAAUACUGCCCAUUGCAAUCUUCAGUCCAGGUUGAAAGUCCGUCUUCAAGAUCAUCUUCAUCUAGUAACCUACAAUCGGUAGACAAGCAAGGUCGUUCAAGAGUAUUUCAUGAAGGUCGGGAAAUGUGCAAUAAUUUCAAUAAUCCCAAAGGUUGUUAUAGGAAAGUGUGUUAUCUACUCCACCAGUGUACAAAAUGUCGUGCAACAGACCAUGGUGCCAGAACCUGUAGGAAAUCCAUAGCAAUGUGCCUGUUACUUCUUCAACAUCUUCUAUGUCCUCUAAGGGAAUAAACCGGAGAAAACAAAAUUCAGGAUGACUAUCCAAGGAAAAUUUCUUGCGUGAAGCUUCAACACCAAUAAAUGUUGAUAAAUUGGAGGAAGAGUUAUCAUCACAUCCUGAUAAAAAUUUUGUAUUAUAUCUAUGUAAUGGUCUGAGACAGGGUUUUGAUUGUUUAGUUCAAGGGGAUAUUUCAGAAUCUAAAGAGUGUAAAAAUAAUUUUUCUGCAAGGUCUCAGGUUAAAGUUGUAUCAGAGUUAAUUAAAAACUGAAUGCCAAAAAGGCUUUGUACAUGGACCUUUUCAGUCCGUACCUUUUGCAAAUUAUAGAGUUAGUCCACUUGGGGUUGCUGAAGGAAAAUAUUCUGGGAAGAAACGUUUGAUUUUAGAUCUUUCAUCUCCACAUGACAAUGACAACUUUCUAAGUAUUAAUGAAAUGAUUGAUAAAGAAGAAUGUUCCAUGUCUUAUGUUAAAAUUGAUGAUGCUAUAAGAAUUAUUCUAAAAUUAGGUAGAAACAGUACACUUUGUAAAUACGACAUCUCAGAUGCGUUCAAAAUUUGUCCUUACUUGCCAUCCCAGUGGCCUUUAUUUUGCUUCAAAUGGCAGUCUUUUUAUUAUUAUUAUGUAAGAUUAACUUUUGGCUGUCGGUCUAGUCCUAAAAUUUUCGACACCAUAUCACAAGCAAUUUGCCAUAUUGCAGAGAAAAAUUAUAAGAUUAAGAACAUUUUACAUCUACUUGAUGAUUUUCUUACUAUUGAUCACCCAAGUGAAGAUGGUGAAAGAAGUAUGGCUAUAAUGAUGACAAUUUUUAAACGUUUAAAUAUUCCUAUAGCCAAACACAAGACUGAAGGACCAGUUACUUGUCUAGAGUAUUUAGGUAUUAUUUUAGAUUCAAACAAAAUGGAAGCAAGACUUCCAAAUAUUAAAGUACAGAGAAUAUGUGAGUUUAUUUCCAAAUUGUUGUCAAAAUCAUCUUGUACAAAGAGACAGUUAUUACAGUUGUUGGGACAUUUUAAUUUUGCCACAAGAGUUAUUUUACCUGGCAGAUCUUUUUUGUCAUACCUUAUUAAUUUGUCAACUACUGUUAAACAUUUAAAUGAAUUUGUACAUUUAACUAAAGAAUGUAAGGUAGAUUUAGAAUUUUGGUUAAGAUUUUUGUCAAACUGGAAUGGUAUUACUAUGUUUCAUGAUUGUUAUUUCACAUCCAGUUAUGACUUUGAAUUAUAUACAGAUGCUGCUUCUACAAUAGGCUUUGGGGGAUAUUUUCAAGGCAAAUGGUUCUCUUCUUAUUGGCCUGUUAAUUUACCUACUUUAACUGAAAAUUCGUCUAUGGCGUUCCUUGAGUUAUACCCUAUUGUAGUAGCAGCAUUGUUAUGGGGCCACCUCUGGCCCUGUAAAAAGAUAUUAUUUUGGUGUGAUAAUGAAGCUACUGUUGCUAUUGUUAGAAAGGGACGCUCUAAAUGUUUAGAAAUUAUGAAACUUAUGCGUCAAUUAACAUGGUGUGCAGCUCAGUUUAAUUUUCAUUUUAGUGCUAAACAUGUACCUGGUCAUAUAAACCAAAUUUCUGAUGCUUUGUGUCUCGUUUUCAGAUGACUCGUUUCCGAAAACUGGCUCCCCAGGCAGAGCAGAACCCUCAUAUAUGCCCCAGUGUGUCAGAAGUAAUGUGGUCUUAACAAACACAGUCAACAAACUAUGGUCUAAUGCAGUAGCUAUGAGGACAAGAGCUGUUUAUGAGACAGGAUAUAACCAUUUCAAAACAUUUCUACUUUUAAAUGGGGUCAACCUGAAUGGGAACAAAUUACCUCCCAUAUCUGAAGAACUUUUAAUUUAUUUCGUUAGUCAUUGUUUUCAAAUUCUGAAAUUACAAUAUUCUACUAUUAAGCUGUAUAUUUGUGGUAUUAGAUACAUGUGUCUCAAGGACAACAUCCCCUCACCAUUUCAAUCAUCAGACAAAGACCACAAAUCAAUGGUUCGACUAUCUUUAUUUCUAAAGUCCGUUAAACGUUCACAAAAACAGUCAGUUAGGCCAAGAUUUCCAAUUACUUCUGACAUACUAAAGCAAAUGUGUGUUAAACUGAAGAGAGGCUUUUUUUCAGAAUUUAUAGACUUAAUGCUGGAAACUGUUUGUAUUGUAGCAUUUCAUGGUUUUUUACGUUGUGGUGAAUUUACUGUAGAUAAUGCAUCUAACUUUGAUUCAGAAUCUAAUUUAUGUGUUUCUGAUGUUACAUUUUAUGAAGAUUUUGCAAUUCUUCAUCUAAAGCAGUCUAAAACAGAUCCUUUUAGGAAAGGCAUUGACAUACAACUGCAUAGGCUAAACAAUAUCCUAUGCCCUUAUACAACUUUAAAGAACUACUUACAAAUAAGAUCAGUUAAAGGGAAAUGUGAACUUUCAGAUCCUUUGUUCAUUAAUGAAAAUUUUUCAGCUUUAGAAAGAAAAUAUUUUAUUACAAAUUUAAAAAUUUUAUUAGAAGCCUGCGGAUACCAAGCAGAGCUAUAUAAUGGUCAUUCCUUUCGUAUAGGUGCAGCAACUAGUGCUGGAAAAGCUAAUGUUGAAGAUCACUUAAUUAAAACAUUGGGUAGAUGGAGUUCUGAUAGUUAUUGUCGCUAUAUAAGAACAGAUAAAUCUUCUAUUAAGAAUGCACAACAACAAAUUUGUAACAGUUAA